Molecule: non-coding RNA, 842 nt
Organism: Benincasa hispida (wax gourd)
Lineage: Eukaryota; Viridiplantae; Streptophyta; Magnoliopsida; Cucurbitales; Cucurbitaceae
Source: RefSeq, a predicted model, not a curated record
UACUUGAGCCAAGCCACGUCGUCGGAUCUAAAACCGCGUCGUCGACUCCAAUCGCAUAGCUCCAAUCCAUCGCACCACGUCAGAUCUGAAACCGCCUCUGGUACCCAUCCAGCCGCUGGUAUGCGUUGCCACCAGUUUGCAGAACGUGUCGUCGUUGUUCUGUGAGCUCACCAGAAGUUUCUUUUUGGGUUGGAAGGAAUUGUCCAACAAAGGUUGAAGUGUGAUUUGGGUGAAAUUUGGUAAGUACUAGCAUUAGUGACCUUUGUGUGUGUGUAAUUUAGUUAAUUGGAAAAUUUGGACAAGUCCUUGAGAUUGUUAAAUCUUUUGGAUUGUCAUUAAGACUAUCAUAUGUAUUUUUAAUUCUAAAAUGGUUAUGUUUGGGUUAGGAACAUGUUGAGCAUAUGGGCUUGCGAUGAUUGUUGGACCAACAUAUUUUGAGUAGAUCUAUGUGGUAUUGUUGGGUAAAUUGAUGCAUGAAACUUGGUCUAAAGCUUUAAUCUAACUUUGGCUCAUGACUUAGGAUCAAAUUCAAAGUUGGUGGAAAGCUAGAAGAGGAUUUGACUGUUGGUUUAAUUUUUUGUUUUAAUUUAAGGUAAGGGUAUAGAGGCACCGGUGAUGGCGCAGCGGAAUUUGUGAUCGUGCCACUGGAACUAGUUUUUACGCUUCCGCAUCAUGAAAUUUAGAGUUCUUAUUCUUCCCUUAUUGUUUAGUUUUACUGUUUGAAACUUAUUAUUACGGAUUAUUUCUUUUAUAUAUACUUUUAAUAGUCUUUACAAAUUAUGCGUACCCUAAUAUUGUUUUAACAAUUACAUUUAAUAAAUGUCUUUUGAACUUCUCUUGUA